AUUCCGGCUGAUCCUGCCGGAGGUCAUUGCUAUCCGGAUCUGGCUAAGCCAUGCUUGUUCUGGGUUAAACCAGGGCAGAGAGCUCAGUAACACGUAGUCAACCUGCCCUUAGGUUCGGACGAAUCUCGGGAAACUGAGGCUAAUGCCGAAUAGGCAAUAUAUUCUGGAAUGAUUUAUUGUUCAACUAAGGAUGGGACUGCGGCUGAUUAGGUUGUUGCCAGGCUAAAAGGGAUUGACGACUUGGAUUUUCGGAUUAAGUCGUCUUCCUUAGAUUCCUGACAAGCCGAUAAUCAGUACGGGCCUUGAGAGAGGAUGCCCGGAGAUGGAUUCUGAGACAAGAAUCCAGGUCCUACGGGGUGCAGCAGGCGCGAAACUUUCCCAAUGCACGCAAGUGUGAGGAAGAGAUCUGGAGUGUUUUCUCAUUUUGAGGGAACUUUUGCCAAGUGCAAACAGCUUGGAGAAUAAGUGGUGGGUAAUACAGGUGCCAGCCGCCGCGGUAAUACCUGAGCCACGAGUGAUGACCACGUUUAUUGGGCUUAAAGCGUUCGUAGCCGGUUCUGCAAGUUCCUGGUGAAAUCAGCCGGUAAACCGGUUGGCUUGCUGGGAAUACUACAGGACUUGGGACCGGGAGAGGUCGAGGGUACUGUUAGGGUAGGGGUAAAAAGCGAUUGUUGACUUGAAUUAUUCCGAAUAAGUCAACCUUCCUUACAUUCCUAUAAUCCUAUCAGGACCACCUGUGGCGAAGGCGCUCGACUAGAACGGAUCCGACGGUGAGGGACGAAAGCCAGGGGAGCGAAUGGGAUUAGAUACCCCAGUAGUCCUGGCUGUAAACGAUACCCACUAGACAUUGGGGAUCUUACGUGGGUUUCCAGUGUCGAAGGAAAACCGCUAAGUGGGUCGCCUGGGGAGUACGGUCGCAAGGCUGAAACUUAAGGGAAUUGGCGGGGGAGCACACAAGGGGUGGAGGCUGCGGUUCAAUUCGACUCAACGCGGGGAACCUUACCAGAGGCGACAGCAGAAUGAAGGUCAGGUUGAAGUCCUUACCAGACAAGCUGAGAAGUAGUGCAUGGCCGUCGUCAGUUCGUGCCGUGAGGUGUCGUCUUAAGUGACGUAACGAACAAGACCCAUACCUUAUGUUGCCACCCGACUCUGUCGGAGCACUCAUAAGGGACCGCUGGCGAUAAGCCAGAGGAAGGUGUGGUCGACGGCAGGUCCGUAUGCCCUGAAUCCUCUGGGUAACACGCGGCCUACAAUGGAUGGUACAAUGGGAUGCAACUCCGAAAGGAGGAGCUAAUCCUUCAAAACCAUUCCUGGUCCGGAUCGAGGGCUGCAACUCGCCCUCGUGAAGCCGAAAUCCCUAGUAGUCGCUGGUUAGCAUGUUUGGAAGUCGCCGCGAAAGCGGUUGCGCUUCCGGGCCUAAAAUCUAGCGGCGAAUAAGUUCCUGCUCCUUGCACACACUGCCCGUCAAGCCAUCCGAGUGAAGUUUUGGCGAGGUCUUCCUUUCGGGGAGGAUCGAACCACAGCUUUGCAAGGAGGGCUAAGUCGUAAAUUAACGAGAUGGGCAAUUUGAGGGACAAAACGU
RNAcentral lists this ribosomal RNA (1582 nucleotides) under Candidatus Aenigmatarchaeota archaeon. Its description in RNAcentral is "bacterial SSU rRNA". It matches the Rfam family "Archaeal small subunit ribosomal RNA". Lineage: Archaea; Nanobdellati; Candidatus Aenigmatarchaeota. The record is from RNAcentral.